CCGACCUGUAACCGAAUAUUCUUUGUUGUACCAGCGGUAGUUGUUUUUUUUACAACGUUUUUUUUCUACGAAGUUGCAGUUACGUUUUUAAUAUGAGUGCUGGACCAAGCACCAAGAAACCGAAAAUCUACCACUUUCACAGUUAGUGGGAGGAAGAUUAUGGAUCUACCAACCGUUGCGAGUCAGUAUUUUGAGACUUGAGGAUCAUCAAAUCAAAAUACCGGUUCACUCUAACAGAUGAUCACCUGGACACCUGCUUGAGGAAAUCCUGGAUCGUCGUAUGGGGUUGGGAUUCUCUGUGGCACUGUUCACUGCAAACAGGACACAUACGUUCGUCCAAGGGAGCAUUGGAGUACAAUUAUGGAAACAGGGAUGCACCCACAAGGUUUUCCUGUCCCUUCGUUGGCGAAUGGAGAUAAUCGUCAUGUGGCUCCUGGUUGACAACUGGCCAGCCAUGUCCAGCAUCACCUCCAAAGUCUUCCGUCACAUCCCACACCAGCACUCCAGGGAAAUUAGGGAGAAGAGCAACAUUGUACGUAGACGGUUCAAAGCAUGUGUUCAAAGACUAUGAAAAUGAACAAUCAUGCCAUCUUACAGUUUCACCAAUUAUUCAUACUUUUCAUAAUUUAAUCAUAAAUGCUGUUGGAUUUUGUCCCUUUCUUUACAUGGUGUUUUGCAGGUCAACUUUGGUGUGUUUAAUAUAUUUGUUACAGUUUAGCCACCAUGCUCUGUGGGGUGUUUGGGGUGGACACAAUCCCCCCAGGCUUUCCAAAAGGGCUGGACAACCAUGCAAGUGGAUUGGCUCCAAGCACUCUUCAGAAGAAUGGUGGACUUAAGUUGGAAGCCACCGAAUCAGGAGCAGAUCAACAUCGCAGCACAGGAUGCCACAGAGGAGUCUUGUCUUCUGCAAAUGUCUUGAAGACAAGGCCGAGCCCAUGGUCCAGUGCUGCAGUCUAGCCUGUACAGAACGCUGGUUCCACCUGUCCUGUGCCGAACUAGAAAC
Coregonus clupeaformis (lake whitefish) is the source of this 1003-nucleotide long non-coding RNA. RefSeq lists it as uncharacterized. The transcript is spliced from 4 exons. The record is from RefSeq and is a predicted model, not a curated record. NCBI's taxonomy places the organism in Eukaryota, Metazoa, Chordata, Actinopteri, Salmoniformes, Salmonidae.